CAUUUGGCUUUGCUAGGAUUAUUGGAAUUUCUCUUUGCGAGUGCUUCACUAACAACUUCAAGCAAGCAGCAAACUGUGGUAUCAUUUCAGCUUCUUUUACCAGCAUCAGUUAACCUCUUCUGUCAUUGAACCAAAGCUUAUGACUCAAACUGGACACCUUGUGCCUUUUCUUUGCUCUUGUUAUUUCUUACCCAGGAAGAUCUGCUCAUUUCCCUGAGGGUGGCCUUAUUUUCUGUUUCGCAUCUACUGUCAUGGCCUCUAAUUUAGAGCAGGCACCCCUUAGCUAGGGUGAUGCUAAAUAUGGUUUCUCAGAUACAGCCAGCUGGCUAACAGUUUACUGCGGAGAGUGUAUCUAAGACAUGCAUCCAAAUCCAUCCCCACCCUCCUUACAUUUUUCUUCUCCUUCCUUCCCUCUUUUCUGCCCUAGGAUGCCACAGUACAAUGCAGUGUAAUAAAAUAUAAUUACAGUGCUUCAUAAAGCAAUCCAAUUAUGAGGUCAAGUUUUUUUCCCCCAUGUGUCUUUUUUGACCAGGAAGCACGUGAAAGACCAGUAGCACAAUAGCACCUAUACGUGAAACAUCCUGCACCCAGGAACCCACUUUGAGCUUUGUCCUCCUACAGUUUUCUCUGAAAAAUAAAAACGAGACUCUCAGAAGACCUACCUCUAAAAAUUGUCAUCCUGGUUGCUACAUUCCAGCCUGGUACCAAGUGCAAGAGAAAAGCAAAAACCCACAGUUAAAAGUGAAGCCCUUGGUAUAAAUUCAUCUUAGGUGCCAAGUGUUUGGCAUUGCAGCCAGUCACUGGGGAAAAGGAAGCCGAGUGAGAGCAGCAGUUUCAAAUACAUCUCCGAUG
Molecule: long non-coding RNA, 852 nt
Filed under: Struthio camelus australis
Lineage: Eukaryota; Metazoa; Chordata; Aves; Struthioniformes; Struthionidae
Description: lncRNA (ENSSCUG00000017319.1)
Source: RNAcentral